RNAcentral lists this ribosomal RNA (291 nucleotides) under uncultured bacterium. Its description in RNAcentral is "partial 16S ribosomal RNA". It matches the Rfam family "Bacterial small subunit ribosomal RNA", at positions 505 to 796 of the family's 1533-position model. The record is from RNAcentral.
GUGCCAGCCGCCGCGGUAAUACGGAGGGGGUUAGCGUUGUUCGGAGUUACUGGGCGUAAAGCGCACGUAGGCGGAUCAGAAAGUUGGGGGUGAAAUCCCGGGGCUCAACCCCGGAACUGCCUCCAAAACUACUGGUCUAGGGUUCGAGAGAGGUGAGUGGAAUUCCGAGUGUAGAGGUGAAAUUCGUAGAUAUUCGGAGGAACACCAGUGGCGAAGGCGGCUCACUGGCUCGAUACUGACGCUGAGGUGCGAAAGUGGGGGGAGCAAACAGGAUUAGAAACCCGUGUGUCC